CGGGGCGGGAUGCUAGCUAUGCAAGUCGAACGGGAUCCAUCAGGCUUUGCUUGGUGGUGAGAGUGGCGAACGGGUGAGUAAUGCGUGACCGACCUGCCCCAUACACCGGAAUAGCUCCUGGAAACGGGUGGUAAUGCCGGAUGCUCCAGUUGAUCGCAUGGUCUUCUGGGAAAGCUUUCGCGGUAUGGGAUGGGGUCGCGUCCUAUCAGCUUGACGGCGGGGUAACGGCCCACCGUGGCUUCGACGGGUAGCCGGCCUGAGAGGGCGACCGGCCACAUUGGGACUGAGAUACGGCCCAGACUCCUACGGGAGGCAGCAGUGGGGAAUAUUGCACAAUGGGCGCAAGCCUGAUGCAGCGACGCCGCGUGAGGGAUGGAGGCCUUCGGGUUGUAAACCUCUUUUAUCGGGGAGCAAGCGAGAGUGAGUUUACCCGUUGAAUAAGCACCGGCUAACUACGUGCCAGCAGCCGCGGUAAUACGUAGGGUGCAAGCGUUAUCCGGAAUUAUUGGGCGUAAAGGGCUCGUAGGCGGUUCGUCGCGUCCGGUGUGAAAGUCCAUCGCUUAACGGUGGAUCCGCGCCGGGUACGGGCGGGCUUGAGUG
RNAcentral lists this ribosomal RNA (600 nucleotides) under Bifidobacterium longum. RNAcentral describes it as "bacterial SSU rRNA". It matches the Rfam family "Bacterial small subunit ribosomal RNA", at positions 40 to 648 of the family's 1533-position model. The record is from RNAcentral. Lineage: Bacteria; Bacillati; Actinomycetota; Actinomycetes; Bifidobacteriales; Bifidobacteriaceae.